UACGGGGGGAGCAAGCGUUGUUCGGAAUCACUGGGCGUAAAGGGCGUUUAGGCGGUUGGAUAAGUGGAAUGUGAAAUCCCUCGGCUCACCCGAGGAUCUGCAUCCCAAACUGUCCGACUUGAGUAUGGGAGAGGAUGAGGGAAUUCCUGGUGUAGCGGCGAAAUGCGUAGAUAUCAGGAGGAACACCGGUGGCGAAGGCGCUCAUCUGGCCCAAUACUGACGCUGAAGCGCGAAAGCUAGGGGAGCAAACGGG
RNAcentral lists this ribosomal RNA (253 nucleotides) under uncultured bacterium. RNAcentral describes it as "partial 16S ribosomal RNA". It matches the Rfam family "Bacterial small subunit ribosomal RNA", at positions 524 to 776 of the family's 1533-position model. The record is from RNAcentral.